Long non-coding RNA from Rhodamnia argentea, 267 nucleotides. RefSeq lists it as uncharacterized. The record is from RefSeq and is a predicted model, not a curated record. The transcript is spliced from 2 exons. NCBI's taxonomy places the organism in Eukaryota, Viridiplantae, Streptophyta, Magnoliopsida, Myrtales, Myrtaceae.
CGAAUAUCUGCGACGGUUUGGGAGAUUAAUUAUGUUAGGAACAGAACACACGGCUCUUGUUUCAUGAUGAUAAUGAGCAGGUUCUCUCAUGAGAAAGAUUAGAUUACGGUGUCGAAGACAAGGAGGAGGAGCCUUGGACCGAUGGCCUGGGGCCGGACUAUGCACACGAUCGAGAAGGGCAAGGAGAGGACGAGGUAUGCGCUCGCGCCUGCAUUCGCGAUCACGAAAAAUCUGCAUUUCAUGUCGGACAAAUUAAAUUUGACAACA